Molecule: ribosomal RNA, 207 nt
Filed under: uncultured bacterium
Lineage: Bacteria
Description: partial 16S ribosomal RNA
Rfam family: Bacterial small subunit ribosomal RNA
Source: RNAcentral
UGCGCAGGCGGCCAAGUGUGUGAGGCGUGAAAGCCCGGAGCUUAACUCCGGAAUUGCACCUCAAACUACAUGGCUAGAGCAUUGGAGAGGGUAGCAGAAUUCACGGUGUAGCAGUGAAAUGCGUAGAUAUCGUGAGGAAUACCAGAGGCGAAGGCGGCUACCUGGACAAUUGCUGACGCUCAGGCACGAAAGCGUGGGGAGCAAAAG